Molecule: transfer RNA, 67 nt
Filed under: Metrocoris esakii
Lineage: Eukaryota; Metazoa; Arthropoda; Insecta; Hemiptera; Gerridae
Also listed under: 1 other name
Description: tRNA-Phe
Source: RNAcentral
AUUCAAAUAGCUUAAAUUUAAAGCGUGAUAUUGAAGAUAUCAAUAUAAGUUUUUUACUUUUUGAAUA